RNAcentral lists this non-coding RNA (21 nucleotides) under Caenorhabditis elegans. The record is from RNAcentral. Lineage: Eukaryota; Metazoa; Nematoda; Chromadorea; Rhabditida; Rhabditidae.
UCACAAAAUACAAUGAGGCUC